Molecule: long non-coding RNA, 555 nt
Organism: Neltuma alba
Lineage: Eukaryota; Viridiplantae; Streptophyta; Magnoliopsida; Fabales; Fabaceae
Exons: 2
Source: RefSeq, a predicted model, not a curated record
UAUACUUAUGAUGCAUCAUUGAUGCCUGUGCAGUCCUCCUGCUAUAGAAAGAUUAUCAAGUGGCGUGUUUCAGGAAGUUAUCAUAACAAAUACAAUCCCAGUGGCUGAGAAGAACUAUUUCCCUCAAUUAACAGUCUUGUCAGUAGCAAACCUUCUGGGGGAAACUAUAUGGCGUGUUCAUGAUAACUGCUCAGGUGGAAUUGAACCUUAUUCCAAUUUGGGCGUUGAUUGAUGCUCGUUCUAGCUUAUGACGUUGCGGUAACUACCGAAGACUGUAGAUGGAAUUUAUGGAAAAAGCUGUUCUUAGUCUGUAGAGCUGUUCCGUGGGUAUAAGCGGUCCUGUAGAUGCGGGAAAAAAAAAUUUUAGUCUAAAAUUCAUAAUGGGAAGUCGUACGUGAUUCCCUUGUUUUUGGUGAAUUUUAACACUGAACAGUAUAUGAUACUUGGUCAUAUUGUUCUGUUAUAUUUCCAUAUUCUUUCGUAUUUUGUUGAAUCAUUGUCAAUUAAGCAAGGAUUAAUACAAUUGCUGGUCCCUCAAAUUUGUUCUUAUUUUGA